UACGAAGGGUGCAAGCGUUGUUCGGAUUUAUUGGGCGUAAAGCGCGCGCAGGCGGAUCGGCAAGUCAGAUGUGAAAUCUCGGGGCUCAACCCCGAAACUGCGUCUGAAACUACUGAUCUGGAAUAUUGGAGAGGGAGGGGGAAUUUCGCAUGUAGGGGUAAAAUCCGUAGAUAUGCGAAGGAACACCGGUGGCGAAGGCGCCCUCCUGGCCGAUUAUUGACGCUGAGGCGCGAAAGCGUGGGGAGCAAACAGG
RNAcentral lists this ribosomal RNA (253 nucleotides) under uncultured bacterium. Its description in RNAcentral is "partial 16S ribosomal RNA". It matches the Rfam family "Bacterial small subunit ribosomal RNA", at positions 524 to 776 of the family's 1533-position model. The record is from RNAcentral.